RNAcentral lists this ribosomal RNA (476 nucleotides) under Mycobacterium sp. FI-07148. RNAcentral describes it as "bacterial SSU rRNA". It matches the Rfam family "Bacterial small subunit ribosomal RNA", at positions 36 to 527 of the family's 1533-position model. Lineage: Bacteria; Bacillati; Actinomycetota; Actinomycetes; Mycobacteriales; Mycobacteriaceae. The record is from RNAcentral.
CUGGCGGCGUGCUUAACACAUGCAAGUCGAACGGAAAGGCCCCUUCGGGGGUGCUCGAGUGGCGAACGGGUGAGUAACACGUGGGUGAUCUGCCCUGCACUUUGGGAUAAGCCUGGGAAACUGGGUCUAAUACCGGAUAGGACCAUGGGAUGCAUGUCUUGUGGUGGAAAGCUUUUGCGGUGUGGGAUGGGCCCGCGGCCUAUCAGCUUGUUGGUGGGGUGAUGGCCUACCAAGGCGACGACGGGUAGCCGGCCUGAGAGGGUGUCCGGCCACACUGGGACUGAGAUACGGCCCAGACUCCUACGGGAGGCAGCAGUGGGGAAUAUUGCACAAUGGGCGCAAGCCUGAUGCAGCGACGCCGCGUGGGGGAUGACGGCCUUCGGGUUGUAAACCCCUUUCAGUACCGACGAAGCGGAAGUGACGGUAGGUACAGAAGAAGCACCGGCCAACUACGUGCCAGCAGCCGCGGUAAUACA